CCAAAACCGUACCCCAAACCGACACAGGUGGAUAUGUAGAGAAUACUAAGGCGCUUGAGAGAACUUGGUUGAAGGAACUAGGCAAAAUGGUACCGUAACUUCGGGAGAAGGUACGCCCUUUUUGGUGAUGAGCCUGCGCUCUGAGCUGAGAAGGGUUGCAAAUACUAGGUGGCUGCGACUGUUUAAUAAAAACACAGCACUCUGCAAACUCGCAAGAGGAAGUAUAGGGUGUGACGCCUGCCCGGUGCUGGAAGGUUAAUUGAUGGGGUUAGCGCAAGCGAAGCUCCUGAUCGAAGCCCCAGUAAACGGCGGCCGUAACAAUAACGGUCCUAAGGUAGCGAAAUUCCUUGUCGGGUAAGUUCCGACCUGCACGAAUGGCGUAACGAUGGCCACACUGUCUCCAACCAAGACUCAGUGAAAUUGAAUUUGCUGUGAAGAUGCAGUAUACCCGCGGCUAGACGGAAAGACCCCGUGAACCUUUACUAUAGCUUUACACUGAACUUUGAAUAUAUUUGUGUAGGAUAGGUGGGAGGCGUUGAAGCACAGGUGCUAGCUUGUGUGGAGCCAUCCUUGAAAUACCACCCUGAUGUCCUCGAGGUUCUAACCUAGGUCCGUUAUCCGGAUCGGGAACAGUGUAUGGUGGGUAGUUUGACUGGGGCGGUCUCCUCCUAAAGAGUAACGGAGGAGCGCAAUGGUACCCUCAGCGCGGUCGGAAAUCGCGCAGUGUGUGUAAAAGCAUAAGGGUGCUUGACUGUGAGUCCGACAGGACGAGCAGGUACGAAAGUAGGCUUUAGUGAUCCGGUGGUUCUUCAUGGAAGGGCCAUCGCUCAACGGAUAAAAGGUACUCCGGGGAUAACAGGCUGAUACCGCCCAAGAGUUCAUAUCGACGGCGGUGUUUGGCACCUCGAUGUCGGCUCAUCACAUCCUGGGGCUGUAGCCGGUCCCAAGGGUAUGGCUGUUCGCCAUUUAAAGUGGUACGCGAGCUGGGUUUAGAACGUCGUGAGACAGUUCGGUCCCUAUCUACCGUGGGCGUUCGAGAUUUGAGAGGAGCUACUUCUAGUACGAGAGGACCGAAGUGGACGAACCUCUGGUGUUCCGGUUGUCACGCCAGUGGCACUUGCCGGGUAGCUAUGUUCGGACAGGAUAACCGCUGAAAGCAUCUAAGCGGGAAGCCUCCCUCAAGAUUAGAUCUCGCAGUUGUGCUUGCACGACUCUAAAGGUUCGUUGAAGACUACAACGUUGAUAGGCAAGGUGUGGAAGUGCAGUAAUGCAUGCAGCUAACUUGUACUAAUUAACCGUGAGGCUUUCCAU
This 1311-nucleotide ribosomal RNA is filed under the name metagenome. RNAcentral's name for it is "bacterial LSU rRNA". It matches the Rfam family "Bacterial large subunit ribosomal RNA", at positions 1636 to 2925 of the family's 2925-position model. The record is from RNAcentral.